UCGGCCGCGGGUGAUGGAUCUCGCCCGGGCCGCGCCGGCCCGAACCGCCGACAAGGCUGAUGGCUCCUGUUCCGAU
This 76-nucleotide non-coding RNA is filed under the name Gordonia polyisoprenivorans. RNAcentral describes it as "Fluoride sequence". It matches the Rfam family "Fluoride riboswitch aptamer (crcB RNA motif)". The record is from RNAcentral. RNAcentral also lists the same sequence under 1 other name. Lineage: Bacteria; Bacillati; Actinomycetota; Actinomycetes; Mycobacteriales; Gordoniaceae.